GCCCACGUAGCUCAGCGGUAGAGCACUUCCUUGGUAAGGAAGAGGUCAUCGGUUCAAGCCCGAUCGUGGGCUCCA
RNAcentral lists this transfer RNA (75 nucleotides) under Thermoanaerobaculia bacterium. RNAcentral describes it as "tRNA-Thr". It matches the Rfam family "tRNA". Rfam says of the family: Transfer RNA (tRNA) molecules are approximately 80 nucleotides in length. Their secondary structure includes four short double-helical elements and three loops (D, anti-codon, and T loops). Lineage: Bacteria; Pseudomonadati; Acidobacteriota; Thermoanaerobaculia. The record is from RNAcentral. RNAcentral also lists the same sequence under 2 other names.